UUGCUCAUGGGGGAACCCCACAACACUCUUCUUGUCACACCUUGAUCUUCUCCAGCUGCCCUUUGCCCAAGAGGGAGCCAGCCUCACAUGCCUGCGUAGACUCCAUGCAUGCUGUUCAAUCACAGGGCUUGAAGGACCUUUGGAAACCUAUCAAAUCCAAUCUCUUUAUUUUACCAUAGAGGAAUCUGAAGCCCAGAGAGGAGUAAUUGUCCCAGGUGAGGCUAGAGCUACAGCCUGCCAGAAUCAGCACUCCUUAGCCAGAGAGCUGAGGGACCACUGUGCCAGUCCCCACCCUGCAUGCUAUGCUGGGACAGCUGGAGAUGGUGGGCAACGGAAACUGUGUAUCUCAUCCCUCAUGCCGGUCUCUGCUCCGCAGACACCCAUCCUUGGCUUCUUCCAAAGGUGGUGGCUUUUCCUUCUAGGUCCUUGUCCAUCGGCACUGCCUUCACCCUGGGACCGGCUAAUCCAUGUUAGAUGACUGUGAAGAACCCUGAGGACCAGUGCCCUGCCUCCAGCUGUCCUUUCAUUACUGAGUGCCUGGAGUGCAGGGAGGCUGAGCGAAGCCUGUUGUCUGGGGAGUGGCCGGGAAGACUGGCGCUCCAGGCUAAGCGUCAUUGCGGCCAAGAAGUCAUCAGGCUCUGAUUCAUCCUAUCACUAAGCACUGGAAUGGAACUUUCUGAGAACACCCCUAAAGGUGACGACAUGGACAAAGGCUGCUCCAUGGCUUCAAGGGGCAUCUUCCCUCAGAGCCCUGGAAUGCCACGCCUCUGUUUAUCUCUGCACAGAGUGCGCACAAACUGUCUACCUCUGGUGUCUCUGGGGCUCAGCAUGCUGUUGGCAUUUAAUCAAUGUGAAAAAUCAGGAACAUCCAAGCCACUGACCUUCACAGAAAGGCCUUUGAGACCACUGCCAGGGCGUUCCUCCUUCAUGAGGCCUGAUUGGUCCUUGCCAGACAACACAGCUGGACAGGGGAAGAGAAAAGCAGGCCUCUAGCUCCUGGAGUUCCUGGAGAGUCACCAAGCGGGUUGUCCUGCACCAGCCCAGGACCAGAGGUCACAAUAACAUGGGACGCAGCCAGGCACUCUGACUAAGGGGCCUGGGAUGUUUGACACUUCAAGCCAAGGGCUGUGGCCUUUGCUCCCAUGCUCCUGGUCCUGUGAGCAGGCUCUGCCUCACCACAGACUGCCAGCGACACUCAGUCACUUGGAAAUGCAGCAGAGCUUUGGGCGUAGAAGGCAGAACUAAAUCCGGGAUGGUUGUGAGGAUUGCAGGAGCAAGUUUGUAGCACGGUGCUGGGAAGACCAUGCAUGUCCACUAAAUGGCAGCUCUUAUAUUAUCCUAAUGUGAUGUGGAGGACAGAAGAAAAGAAAGGGAAACUGGAGUGACCGCAGACUCAGAGAAUCGGCUGCUAUGGACGGAGGUGCCUGGGGAACGCUGAGCUUCUGCUCAGGGCUGGCAGUCCUGCCCUUCACUGGCGUCCUCCGGCUGCAGCUAGGUCUGGGAGGCAGGAUGGGGGACUCAGGUCGCAGGUUAGAUCCCGAGGCCAUAAAACCAGUAGUCAAAACCAACAAUAUUUGAGUUCAUGGAAGCUCAUCUCAGGAGAGAAACAAGUCAUUGUGUCCUCGUCACUGGGCUCAUUAAAAACUAUAUGAUUGAACUUGAAUUCACCCCAAAUGGUAGGCAUUUUGGUGAAUUUAGAAAUUUAUCAGCGAAUGACUCAUUAAACCUUUGCUCUUCAUCCUUUUGCCUUGGAAACCCCCUCUUCCUCGGGCCACUCCUAAAGUGGCCCAAACAGCCUAAAGUUCUCGUGGGUCCUUUCGAGGGCAAACAUAGAUUUGAUUCCCUUUAAAAUUGAUUCCAAAC
This is a long non-coding RNA of Otolemur garnettii (small-eared galago), 1863 nucleotides long. RefSeq lists it as uncharacterized. The transcript is spliced from 3 exons. Lineage: Eukaryota; Metazoa; Chordata; Mammalia; Primates; Galagidae. The record is from RefSeq and is a predicted model, not a curated record.